RNAcentral lists this long non-coding RNA (363 nucleotides) under Erythranthe guttata (spotted monkey flower). Its description in RNAcentral is "long non-coding RNA (EGUT_LNC002030)". Lineage: Eukaryota; Viridiplantae; Streptophyta; Magnoliopsida; Lamiales; Phrymaceae. The record is from RNAcentral.
GCCAAGGCCGUCGGUUCGCCGGAAAUCUCAAACAAUAACCACGACAAUAGCAAACCCGGAAUGCAUAAGUGGAGGUAAACUUCAGUUUUGGGGAAACCGAAGAAAUGGGUGGGCCCGAGGAAAUGGGUGGAGAAAUCUGGAAUUAAGUGAGUGUUUUGUUUAGGAGAGAAGAAGGUUUAUUGUUGCGGGACCACGUGUAAUGGUGUUGAAAUUUUGGAUCAUAAUAUUGGAUUUUUCUUUUUAUUGGAAUAAUUUUGUAAGAAAUUUUGAGUUGAGAGGGAAUUCGUUGUUGUUAGGGGUUGAGAAGCUUGGUUGCCGGAGAGAGGUUUCAGCCCAUGAACGGAGCCGGCGACGACAGUGGUG